RNAcentral lists this long non-coding RNA (252 nucleotides) under Ananas comosus (pineapple). RNAcentral describes it as "long non-coding RNA (ACOM_LNC034452)". Lineage: Eukaryota; Viridiplantae; Streptophyta; Magnoliopsida; Poales; Bromeliaceae. The record is from RNAcentral.
AAAAUUAUAUAUUGUUGCUAAUGUAUAUAUAGAAUUGAGCUUUUAUACUUUUAAGAGCACCAAGUCAUUAGUGCUUAUUAGUGUUCGACUUUUGGAUGAAAAUUUGUAGAGGCUAUAAUGAUAGUGGUCUCCAAGAAUUUGGUGGGUGGUAGGUGAAAUAGUAUGAUUUAAAAGGUGAAAAUGAUCAAAAGAUAGAUUGAACGGCGAAAAAUUUGCAAGCACCAAGUGUUCGAUGCUUUUAAUAGCACCAUA